This 497-nucleotide ribosomal RNA is filed under the name uncultured bacterium. Its description in RNAcentral is "partial 16S ribosomal RNA". It matches the Rfam family "Bacterial small subunit ribosomal RNA", at positions 28 to 507 of the family's 1533-position model. The record is from RNAcentral.
GAUGAACGCUGGCGGCGUGCCUAAUACAUGCAAGUCGAGCGAACAGACGAGGAGCUUGCUCCUCUGACGUUAGCGGCGGACGGGGGAGUAAAACGUGGAUAACCUACCUAUAAGACUGGGAUAACUUCGGGAAACCGGAGCUAAUACCGGAUAAUAUAUUGAACCGCAUGGUUCAAUAGUGAAAGACGGUUUUGCUGUCACUUAUAGAUGGAUCCGCGCCGCAUUAGCUAGUUGGUAAGGUAACGGCUUACCAAGGCAACGAUGCGUAGCCGACCUGAGAGGGUGAUCGGCCACACUGGAACUGAGACACGGUCCAGACUCCUACGGGAGGCAGCAGUAGGGAAUCUUCCGAAAUGGGCGAAAGCUUGACGGAGCAACGCCGCGUGAGUGAUGAAGGUCUUCGGAUCGUAAAACUCUGUUAUUAGGGAAGAACAAAUGUGUAAGUAACUAUGCACGUCUUGACGGUACCUAAUCAGAAAGCCACGGCUAACUACGUG